UACGUAGGGACCAAGCGUUGUCCGGAUUUAUUGGGCGUAAAGAGCUCGUAGGCGGCCCUCCACGUCGGAUGUGAAAGCUCAGGGCUCAACCCUGAGAUGCCAUUCGAUACGGGAAGGCUAGAGGUAGGUAGGGGAAAGUGGAAUUCCUGGUGUAGCGGUGAAAUGCGCAGAUAUCAGGAGGAACACCGGUGGCGAAGGCGGUUCUCUGGGCCUUACCUGACGCUGAGGAGCGAAAGCGUGGGGAGCGAACAGG
Molecule: ribosomal RNA, 253 nt
Filed under: uncultured bacterium
Lineage: Bacteria
Description: partial 16S ribosomal RNA
Rfam family: Bacterial small subunit ribosomal RNA
Source: RNAcentral